AUUGAACGCUGGCGGUAGGCCUAACACAUGCAAGUCGAACGGUAACAGAAAGCAGCUUGCUGCUUUGCUGACGAGUGGCGGACGGGUGAGUAAUGUCUGGGAAACUGCCUGAUGGAGGGGGAUAACUACUGGAAACGGUAGCUAAUACCGCAUAACGUCGCAAGACCAAAGAGGGGGACCUUCGGGCCUCUUGCCAUCGGAUGUGCCCAGAUGGGAUUAGCUAGUAGGUGGGGUAACGGCUCACCUAGGCGACGAUCCCUAGCUGGUCUGAGAGGAUGACCAGCCACACUGGAACUGAGACACGGUCCAGACUCCUACGGGAGGCAGCAGUGGGGAAUAUUGCACAAUGGGCGCAAGCCUGAUGCAGCCAUGCCGCGUGUAUGAAGAAGGCCUUCGGGUUGUAAAGUACUUUCAGCGGGGAGGAAGGGAGUAAAGUUAAUACCUUUGCUCAUUGACGUUACCCGCAGAAGAAGCACCGGCUAACUCCGUG
This 490-nucleotide ribosomal RNA is filed under the name uncultured bacterium. RNAcentral's name for it is "partial 16S ribosomal RNA". It matches the Rfam family "Bacterial small subunit ribosomal RNA", at positions 30 to 507 of the family's 1533-position model. The record is from RNAcentral.